This 494-nucleotide ribosomal RNA is filed under the name uncultured bacterium. RNAcentral describes it as "bacterial SSU rRNA". It matches the Rfam family "Bacterial small subunit ribosomal RNA", at positions 30 to 517 of the family's 1533-position model. The record is from RNAcentral.
AUUGAACGCUGGCGGCAGGCCUAACACAUGCAAGUCGAGCGGUAGAAGGGAGCUUGCUUCCUUUGAGAGCGGCGGACGGGUGAGUAAUGCCUAGGAAUCUGCCUGGUAGUGGGGGAUAACGUUCGGAAACGGACGCUAAUACCGCAUACGUCCUACGGGAGAAAGUGGGGGAUCUUCGGACCUCACGCUAUCAGAUGAGCCUAGGUCGGAUUAGCUAGUUGGUGAGGUAAUGGCUCACCAAGGCGACGAUCCGUAACUGGUCUGAGAGGAUGAUCAGUCACACUGGAACUGAGACACGGUCCAGACUCCUACGGGAGGCAGCAGUGGGGAAUAUUGGACAAUGGGCGCAAGCCUGAUCCAGCCAUGCCGCGUGUGUGAAGAAGGUCUUCGGAUUGUAAAGCACUUUAAGUUGGGAGGAAGGGUAGUAGCUUAAUACGUUGCUACUUUGACGUUACCGACAGAAUAAGCACCGGCUAACUCUGUGCCAGCAGCCG